UACGUAGGGUGCGAGCGUUGUCCGGAAUUACUGGGCGUAAAGAGCUCGUAGGUGGUUUGUCGCGUUGUCCGUGAAAACUCACAACUCAAUUGUGGGCGUGCGGGCGAUACGGGCAGACUGGAGUACUGCAGGGGAGACUGGAAUUCCUGGUGUAGCGGUAAAAUGCGUGGAUCUCGGGAGGAACACCAAUGGCGAAGGCAGCUUCUUGGCUCAUUCCUGACGUUGAGGCACGAAAGCGUGGGGAGCAAACAGG
RNAcentral lists this ribosomal RNA (253 nucleotides) under uncultured bacterium. RNAcentral's name for it is "partial 16S ribosomal RNA". It matches the Rfam family "Bacterial small subunit ribosomal RNA", at positions 524 to 776 of the family's 1533-position model. The record is from RNAcentral.